Molecule: long non-coding RNA, 3754 nt
Organism: Clupea harengus (Atlantic herring)
Lineage: Eukaryota; Metazoa; Chordata; Actinopteri; Clupeiformes; Clupeidae
Source: Ensembl
ACGCACACACACACACGCACACACACACAUACACACACAUCUACAACUUCUACCAGUGCAGUGUGCCAAUCUCCUCUUAACCUAGGUAAUUAGCAGCAGCCUGUUGUCACUGUAAUAUGCUGCGGUCCCAUUACAGUGUCAGGCGGCCACUAGACACGUAUGAUCCCAGGACUCUGUUUAGCAUUCCAAAGAGACAGGCAAGCAAUGGGCCUGACAAGCUGUCUGUCUAUCUCCAUCAGGACGGAGUCCCAAAGCCCCGAAGUCCUCCUCAGCAAGCACGAAGAUCUCCCUAAGUCACAGUCUGCAAGAGUCUGCAAAAAUCACUCACACCCAUCAUUUUUUUUCUUUUCUCUUAAUUUUUCAGGAUCGUUUUCUUUAUUUUAUUCCAAGUGCCAACCAAUUACCCAUGCUCCUGUAAGAUCCCGUCACAAGUCUGGCAACUGUCCCGAGCCUUUUUCCGUUUGGCAGGGAGACUGGGGGGGGGGAGCUGAAGGCGGAGUGACAGAGCUGCUGCCGCACUUGUGUUGGCAAGUGUGUGUGUGUGUGUGUGUGUGUGUGUGUGUGUGUGUGUGUGUGUGUUAGGUAGGGAGAAAGAAGUAAUGACAGCUUUUAAGAGUGGCUGCUCUAGGACAGCAAACUUCAGCUCCAUCUCCACUAACCCCCUUCUCCCCACUCCUCCUCCCCACCUCCUCUCGCCAUCUCCACCACCUUGUCCCUGUGGACGCUCCUUCCAACUUGAACAUCCUUCAGAGGGUGCCGUUAUCUCCUCAAACCAAUUAUUUGAUUAGGAGACGGAAACCGCUUCAAUAAUUUGCUUUGCUAAUGAGGAGAUGAUGCCAGAGGAGCGGUCUGGCCAUUCCCUCAGUUCUCGUCCCUCUUCCGCUCUUGUCACGGAACAGCGCGCCGGACGGACGCGGGGGUUUAUGCUCGGGAAACAAAAGAAGAAUCGGACCGGAGAUUUUCGCACAGCUUCUCACCUCCUGGGCGACAGGGAAGAGACACUGAGAGACAGAGGGCUCCUCUGGUGCCAAUAUCCCCGUCCCUUUAUCUCUGCCAGUGUGACGCUCCCUUUCGUCCCGUCUCUGGUGCCAGGGAUCCGGUCUGCUUCCGCCAGCGGAGCCCCGCUGACACCCGUCACGUCAGAUGUCAGAUGUUCCCCAAAGGACAGGAUGCGCCGGCACCCGCUAGUCUCUCUCACAAAUCUACAUUUUUUUUGUUUUUUUCAGUGUAUGUGGGAGCAUGUCAUAAUGUUGCAAAUGUCGGCACCCCACCAGACGACAGCCUGCCCACUCCAAGCGAUGCAGCAUCUGGAGGAGGAUGGAGGUGCUGGGACAAAUUCAUUAGAUUUUACAGGCAGUCGCACUGAUUCACAACCCUGUCUUGUUUAACAGUGCCUGUGCUUUUCCGCUGCUCAUGUCCCUCUCUCUCCAUGCUCCGCAGUUUUGGUUGGACCCUCGUGACCCCUCUUGCACACAUCACUCCACACAGUCUGGCACCACUCGGGCGAGCCUGAAGCCGGGGGCAAAUGAAGAUAGCUGGGCAUAAAACAAAAUGAAGAUAGCUGGGCAUAUAACAAAAUGAAGAUAGCUGGGCAUAUAACAACAUGAAGAUAGCUGGGCAUAUAACAACAUGAAGAUAGCUGGGCAUAUAACAAAAUGAAGAUAGCUGGGCAUAUAACAACAUGAAGAUAGCUGGGCAUAUAACAACAUGAAGAUAGCUGGGCAUAUAACAACAGCUCUACAACAUGGAGGAAGGGGCACUGGAACAUAACCAGACAUGAUUCACAGGAAACUGUGAUGCGCAUAAUGGCCUAUUGUACCCUCUGUAACCAGAUCAUAAGCUCAGUAGGCUACUCAGCAAGGAGGGACCCGAAUGGCAUUUUUCAUACUGGUUUAGAGCCACCCCUUGCAAUCUGGAGCCAAGCACACACACAGCUCCAUUUAGUCAACAACAUCACCUUCCAGAUCCUCACAGUAAAGGUGGGCAGCUCACUGAAGCCUCUCCUUGUUUGCAUGAGGUGGGCCGAUACCAAACUCAAGAGCCCCUCUCUCCAACAGAGCUUAUCCCAGCACUCUGACAAAUGUGUCUCCAGCACGGGCUGAUGGAGAGCUCUGAUAAUGACCUGAUUGUAUCUCACUCAGUCUGUUCUCCCGCACUGGAUCUCUGUCAGCGCUGCUGUCAUGCUACACCCAGCGUGAGUGCUGGCUGGCAGGCGCUGCCUUGUAAAUCAGACAGACCUGGUUUCACUCACUGUGAGACCGUCCACAAGAGAGAUGCAGAAACUCAGGGCCAAGGCACACACACACAAAAAAAAGAAGAAGUCAGGAGGACAGUUUAAUUAUGGAUCUCGAAAUAAACCACCCCAACGUCUUUGUUGUUUGUUUCCAGUCAAACAGAUUGUCUUUUUCUUGUUUUUAAUGAAAGCUGUUCAUUAAACUCAAGGUUUUAUAAACUGAAAUGAUUAACUAAAAGUCGAGCCUCUUUAUGCCUGUUAGGCUGCAGUUAAGGGCUUUGGAUGGGAGAGGGGGAAGGCGUCUAUAAUUAAGGAGUCAGUGAUGAUAUACGAAAAGCAUCCUGACGAGUCUCCAAAGACACAAUAAAAGGCUGUUUGCUAACAAGCUAGUGCCAGUAAUGACGGCUGCUUCAAAGAGAGCAGGGCUCUCUGAAACGAGGGCGUUAAGUGGCGCUGACAGAUUCAGAAAUAAUUUUAGGACCUUCGUUUUGAACAGGUGACUAAAGAAGAAGAAAAAUCAAGAAAUGUUUUGAAGUUGACCUCUAGAAUAGUCUCAUUCCUGUAAACCUCCCAUAAAAGUGAGGUUAAAUACACAUACUAUUGUAGUUAUCAGACAUGUUAGCCUCAAAACACCAGGAUUAGCAAAGCCAGGCCAGACAAAAAAAACGAUUUAAAAACGAUUUAAACUUCAUACAUAACAACAAGCCGUUUAGAAUGAGAAUCUGUUUUUCAGGCUCUAUCUUCAUGUUUCAUGAAAAAAAAAAAAAAAAAAAUAUUUGAAUAAACAUACAUGCAGUAGCCAUGACAAAAGUCAAGUGAUAUAAAUACUCCUACGUGCCUCAUUUCAUCUUAGUUUGAGCGCUGCUGCCACCUGUGCUGUUAUUUCUAUGAUCGCAUGCUUAAAUCUAUAUUAUCCCCCAUACAUCUCCUGGAUUAUGACAUGGUAUAUUACAAAAUGGACACUAUGUGCAAUCAAUUUUCAGUUCGACUGCACGCUUUCUCUAUGAGGAGAUUGUCAUUAACUUGCAGAUUAUUCAUAUGUACUGGGCUUCUACUUGAUCCCCAAGGUAGGCUUCAAUCUAGGUCAUAAUUGUUCAUUGAACACUAUAAACACAAAGGAUAUAUCAUUUAUGAAGUUGUUAAGCAAGAGUAUUUUGCAGGGAAAGUGGCUAAAUAUUGUAAAAGAUGACAAAACUGUCAGUAUACCAUGUCACAGCACAGUUUACCUGAAAACUGUAGUAUAAUAGUCCUUUCAACUCUCUCUCUCUCUCUUAAUUUGCAUGAGAGUGUGUGUGUGUGUGUGUGUGAGAGAGAGAAAGUGUGUGUGUAGGUGUGCGUGUGUCUGUAUGUGUGACAGUGUCUUCCAUCACAUCAAACUCUCCUAUUCAUUAUGAGCAGUGCAAUAAAGACUAUUUCUAAAUGAUCGGCACUUUCUCAUUUUCUGACUUUUCCACGGCGCGUGUCAGAGCUGUCUCAGAUCUCUGAUUAGAUGGACGCACGGCAAAGGCACCUCCUCGAGGC